CAACCCCGACAGGCGGAUAGCCGGUGGAAACGCCGGAUAAUACGCCAUGGUUCCCGGUGAGGGCAUCCUCACUUGGAUAAAGCUCCGGCGGUCGGGGACGGGCGAUGCGUCCCCAUUAGAUUGUUGGCGGUGCAAUGGACCACCAAGUCUACGAUGGGUAGGGGAUCUGAGAGGACGGUCCCCACACUGGUACUGAGACACGGACCAGACUCCUGCGGGAGGCAGCAGUAAGGGAUAUUGGUCAAUGGGCGUAAGCCUGAACCAGCCAUGCCGCGUGAGGGAAUGAGGCCCUACGGGUCGUGAACCUCUUUUAUUCGGGGACAAGGACGGCGUCGCGAACGCUGUUUGAGGGUACCGAAGGAAUAAGCAUCGGCUAACUCCGUGCC
RNAcentral lists this ribosomal RNA (386 nucleotides) under uncultured bacterium. RNAcentral describes it as "bacterial SSU rRNA". It matches the Rfam family "Bacterial small subunit ribosomal RNA", at positions 127 to 509 of the family's 1533-position model. The record is from RNAcentral.